CUAAGGCUCCAGAGGAAGCCACGGCUAACUCUGUGCCAGCAGCCGCGGUAAUACAGAGGCGGCAAGCGUUGUUCGGAAUUAUUGGGCGUAAAGAGCACGUAGGCGGCCUUGCAAGUCAGUUGUGAAAGCCUUCCGCUUAACGGAAGAAUGCCAGCUGAUACUACAGGGCUUGAGUACGGGAGGGGAGAGUGGAACUUCUGGUGGAGCGGUGAAAUGCGUAGAUAUCUGAAGGAACGCCGGCGGCGAAAGCGACUCUCUGGCCCGAAACUGACGCUGAGUGUGCGAAAGCUAGGGGAGCAAACGGGAUUAGAUACCCCGGUAGUCCUAGCCGUAAA
Molecule: ribosomal RNA, 335 nt
Filed under: uncultured Planctomycetales bacterium
Lineage: Bacteria; Pseudomonadati; Planctomycetota; Planctomycetia; Planctomycetales
Description: bacterial SSU rRNA
Rfam family: Bacterial small subunit ribosomal RNA
Source: RNAcentral